CUCAAUGAUUUCGGCGUUGUAGUUCAUCAUCGUCUAGAGUAUAUAAAGCACACAUGAGCCACAGCAAAGUAAUCAAAGUAUUUUUGAGAUCGAACAAACGAUGAGAUCAGCUUCAGCUGCGCUGCUGUUUGUGUCCUGCCUUUUGGCUGUGAUUUGCUACAAUGCGGUGAAUUGUAUAAAGCCAUUUGGAGCAUUCGGUGUAGAGGUAGCAACAAGCGAUCAGGCUAAAAGAAGAGAACUAUUCACAAUAAUUGUUAAUUGGAUAUCCAGUUUUAAUCGAAAUUUGUAAAAUGAACUUUUAUACACAUUUGCUAUAAAUAAAGUUUUUUCCCCCUUCGUUGAGGGGUUUUCUUUAUAUAUUU
Drosophila nasuta is the source of this 362-nucleotide long non-coding RNA. RefSeq lists it as uncharacterized. The transcript has 2 exons. Lineage: Eukaryota; Metazoa; Arthropoda; Insecta; Diptera; Drosophilidae. The record is from RefSeq and is a predicted model, not a curated record.